GCCCAGGUGGCGGAAUUGGUAGACGCACUAGGUUCAGGUCCUAGCGGUUCAGGUCCUAGCGCUUGCAAGGGCGUGGAGGUUCGAGUCCUCUCCUGGGCACCA
This 102-nucleotide transfer RNA is filed under the name Hydrogenophilales bacterium 28-61-23. RNAcentral's name for it is "tRNA-Leu". It matches the Rfam family "tRNA". From Rfam's summary of the family: Transfer RNA (tRNA) molecules are approximately 80 nucleotides in length. Their secondary structure includes four short double-helical elements and three loops (D, anti-codon, and T loops). The record is from RNAcentral. Lineage: Bacteria; Pseudomonadati; Pseudomonadota; Hydrogenophilia; Hydrogenophilales.